RNAcentral lists this ribosomal RNA (301 nucleotides) under uncultured bacterium. Its description in RNAcentral is "partial 16S ribosomal RNA". It matches the Rfam family "Bacterial small subunit ribosomal RNA", at positions 509 to 807 of the family's 1533-position model. The record is from RNAcentral.
CAGUAGCCGCGGGAAUACAGAGGGUGCAAGCGUUAAUCGGAAUUACUGGGCGUAAAGCGCGCGUAGGUGGUUUGUUAAGUUGGAUGUGAAAGCCCCGGGCUCAACCUGGGAACUGCAUCCAAAACUGGCAAGCUAGAGUACGGUAGAGGGUGGUGGAAUUUCCUGUGUAGCGGUGAAAUGCGUAGAUAUAGGAAGGAACACCAGUGGCGAAGGCGACCACCUGGACUGAUACUGACACUGAGGUGCGAAAGCGUGGGAAGCAAACAGGAUUAGAUACCCCGGUAGUCCCUGUCUCUUAUAC